UACGGAGGGUGCAAACGUUGCUCGGAAUCAUUGGGCGUAAAGCGCACGUAGGUGGCUUGUUAAGUCGGGUGUGAAAUCCCUGGGCUCAACCCAGGAAGUGCACUCGAAACUGGCGAGCUUGAGUACUGAAGAGGGUCGCGGAAUUCCCGGUGUAGAGGUGAAAUUCGUAGAUAUCGGGAGGAACACCAGUGGCGAAGGCGACUUACUGGACACAUAUUGACGCUGAGGUGCGAAAGCGUGGGGAGCAAACAGG
Molecule: ribosomal RNA, 253 nt
Filed under: uncultured bacterium
Lineage: Bacteria
Description: partial 16S ribosomal RNA
Rfam family: Bacterial small subunit ribosomal RNA
Source: RNAcentral